Long non-coding RNA from Stegostoma tigrinum, 2293 nucleotides. RefSeq lists it as uncharacterized. Lineage: Eukaryota; Metazoa; Chordata; Chondrichthyes; Orectolobiformes; Stegostomatidae. The record is from RefSeq and is a predicted model, not a curated record. The transcript has 3 exons.
CUUCAGCUCUCGUCUCUGACCUUUCGAUCUCGGUGGAAAUUAUUGUAUGCUGUGCCACAAGCAUACACACAGAAAUGCGUAUACAAAAACUGUAUGAUGAAUGUAAAUAUCAGUCACCCAUUACGUUGAGGAAACCGUAUUGUUGAUCGGACUCAUUGCAGAAUCUCUGAGCUGAACGGCGCUUCGACCUGAGUUGUAAAUGUGGCAAGGGAAGGGUUUGCAAUUUACGACAGGAAAUGUUGUUUCAUUUACAGUUAGAACUUGACGAAGGCAUGUCUAGUGAACGGUUAGGAAGUCCAACUCCGAAUCUUGACAUAUUUGUCUGCAGCUGGCAGGAUCUUUCAUCUGAUUCCUGGUUCUAAGCAAUGGAUUCUGCACAAUUCGAGAUGACAAGAAUUAACUGGAGGUAGAAGCUGUGCCAGGUGCUGAAGUAACCUGUGUGAUACUCUUAUGCAAAUCCAAAUACAAGAUGGUCACUGGACCCUGAUUUCUCUCCAUAGACAACGCCAGACGGGAUUCCCUACAGUGUGGAAACAGGCCCUUUGGCCCAACAAGUCCACACCGCCACUUGCAGCAUCCCACCGAGAUCCAUCCCCCUAUAACCCACAUACCCCUGAACACUACAGGCAAUUUGGCAUGGCCGAUCCACCUAGCCUGCACAUCUUUGGACUGUGGGAGGAAACCGGAGCACCCGGAGGAGACCCAUGCAGACACGGGGAGAAUGUGCAAACUCCACACAGGCAGUCGCCCGAGGCUGGAAUCGAACCUGGGUCACUGGUGCUGUGAGGCUGCAGUGCUAACCACUGAACCACCGUGCCGCCCUUUUGUACAUAAAUUAUGCAAUUAGAUCACAAAGUGCUGUCAAUCAAGCAAUGUUUUCACUUGAAUGAAGCUGUUAGAACAGAUUGCUGGAUGUCUUGACUCUCAGCCAGGAAUGCACAAUGAGUCACUUUGAAAAGCUGGCCUACAACCGUAAUAAUUGUGGGAGGGUCUAGAAGAUGGUUAUCUCCGUAAUGAUGCCAGUAGGUCAGAGUGCCAGAUAACAAGGUGUAGAGCUGGAUGAACACAGCAGGCCAAGCACCAUCAGAGGAGCAGGAGGGCUGACCCUUCUUCAGGGAAAAAAAAGGUGUCUAGGCCUGAAAUGUCAGCCUUCCUGCUUUUCUGAUGCCGCUUGGCCUGCUGUGUUCAUCCAGCUGUACAUCUUGUUAUCUCAGAUGCUCCAGCAUCUGCAAUUCCUACUAUCUCAGAAGUGCCAGAUACAGGUUUUUGAUCUACAGCAGCUUAUCUCCUUAACCGGCCUUGAUGAAAAUUCAAAUGGGGCCAGGAAUCCCAGAAUUAGGCUUGAGUGACCAUAUCUGAACAUUUCUAGAGUCUCAUCAAUUCUGCAAAACUAAGACCAAAAUAUAUGUACUUGUGCUUAUCCCAGCUCAGAUUCUAUUAUUCUCUGUGCCAGUAUUUCUCUGAUUCAACAUCCAGGUUUAACCAAUUAAGCACAGAGAGCAUAGGACAAUUACUGAACUUCUGUAGCCAAACACAUUAUGAUUGAACCAUUAAAUACUACAGAAAGUAUGUAAAUUUCGAAAAAAAUUCAUGAUUAGUGUACUUUACAAAACUAGACUUUUCAUUGAACCGUACAAAGAAACGUAAUAUUUAAAUUUUAUAAACUGAGGUAGCUUGAAAAAGUGAAUUUGUUAGAUUUCUGCCUGAGAUGGACACUUACUUAAUUCAUAUUGUUGACUAAAAUUGAUCUGGUAUUUUCUAGCCACAAGAACUCCAUGAAAGCAGACUCUGGAGGAAUUGGUUGGGAAGUUGAAAUUACUGCUGGGCAAUUUCCCCAUGCCUGGAGCUCUCUGAACAUCUUUAUUUAAAUCAGAGACUUUGAAGGAAGCAGAGGAAAAGAAUCUUUGGGUUUAAAAUGAGAAAUUAUGGAAUAUUAUUGUCCAGGGGGUUUUGUAAUGAACUGCCAGUGGAAGUGGUAGAUGCAGGAACGGUUACUAUAUUUAAAAUGCAUUCUGACAGGUACAUGAAUGGGAAAUGUUUAGAGGGAAAAGUGCCAAAUACAGGCAAAUGACACCAAUUUAGUUUGGGAAACUUGAAUAAGUUGGACUAAAGGGUCUGUUUCUGUGCUGUUUGACUCUGAAUCUAUAAACUCCUGCAUCAAGUGUAAAUUUCAAAUGUUUGUUCUUUGCACAAAAUUGCUUUUUAGUCUUCAUUGCAACCGAAGCAAGAUAUGAUACUCUGUGCAGCAAGCUACAUAUGCCUAUUAUGUGCAAACAUAUUCAGUUUGAUCAAU